UGGGGAAUAUUGCACAAUGGGCGCAAGCCUGAUGCAGCCAUGCCGCGUGUAUGAAGAAGGCCUUCGGGUUGUAAAGUACUUUCAGCGGGGAGGAAGGGAGUAAAGUUAAUACCUUUGCUCAUUGACGUUACCCGCAGAAGAAGCACCGGCUAACUCCGUGCCAGCAGCCGCGGUAAUACGGAGGGUGCAAGCGUUAAUCGGAAUUACUGGGCGUAAAGCGCACGCAGGCGGUUUGUUAAGUCAGAUGUGAAAUCCCCGGGCUCAACCUGGGAACUGCAUCUGAUACUGGCAAGCUUGAGUCUCGUAGAGGGGGGUAGAAUUCCAGGUGUAGCGGUGAAAUGCGUAGAGAUCUGGAGGAAUACCGGUGGCGAAGGCGGCCCACUGGACGAAGACUGACGCUCAGGUGCGAAAGAGUGGGGAGCAAACAGG
Molecule: ribosomal RNA, 429 nt
Filed under: Chloroflexota bacterium
Lineage: Bacteria; Bacillati; Chloroflexota
Description: Chloroflexi bacterium partial 16S ribosomal RNA
Rfam family: Bacterial small subunit ribosomal RNA
Source: RNAcentral